Molecule: ribosomal RNA, 424 nt
Filed under: uncultured prokaryote
Description: bacterial SSU rRNA
Rfam family: Bacterial small subunit ribosomal RNA
Source: RNAcentral
UGGGGAAUAUUGGACAAUGGGGGCAACCCUGAUCCAGCCAUGCCGCGUGGGUGGAGAAGGCCUUAGGGUUGUAAAACCCUUUCAGCGGGGAAGAUGAUGACGGUACCCGCAGAAGAAGCCCCGGCUAACUCCGUGCCAGCAGCCGCGGUAAUACGGAGGGGGCUAGCGUUGUUCGGAAUUACUGGGCGUAAAGCGCGCGUAGGCGGUUUGGUAAGUCGGAUGUGAAAGCCCCGGGCUUAACCUGGGAAUUGCAUUCGAUACUGCCUGACUAGAGUAUGGUAGAGGGAAGUGGAAUUUCCGGUGUAGCGGUGAAAUGCGUAGAUAUCGGAAGGAACACCAGUGGCGAAGGCGACUUCCUGGGCCAAUACUGACGCUGAGGUGCGAAAGCGUGGGGAGCAAACAGGAUUAGAUACCCCCGUAGUCC